RNAcentral lists this ribosomal RNA (716 nucleotides) under Massartellopsis irarrazavali. Its description in RNAcentral is "eukaryotic LSU rRNA". The stretch from base 443 to 716 matches the Rfam family "Eukaryotic large subunit ribosomal RNA", at positions 665 to 894 of the family's 3401-position model. Lineage: Eukaryota; Metazoa; Arthropoda; Insecta; Ephemeroptera; Leptophlebiidae. The record is from RNAcentral.
UAAAGGUCGAAAGAGGAGAUUCAGUAUCCGUUCCUCAUCGCCGCUCCGUGCCGCGAGUACAACUCGGGUCGUCCCUUUCGGGGGUUCGGCCUGGGCUCGUGGCGCGGUCUCGCGCGCGGGAGGCGGAGCGCACUUCUCCUCGAGUAGGACGCCGCGACCCGCUGGGUGUCGGUCUGAGGCUCGGGUGCGAGCCCGUGUCGCGGUUCGCCGCGUCGCGGAGCCCCGGUGUCCCGACCGACUGCUCGGCGGUCGAACGUAAGGAACUGGCCCGCGCUCUUUUGCGCGCCCGUGCCGCUUGCGAGCGUCCGGCCGAAUCCCGUCGUGCGGACUUGUCCGCCGCGGGCCGGUCGGCGUUGUCGGCUUGCGGAUUUCUCGGGCAGUGGCCUCUCCUGUUUGCGGCGCUCAAAGCUGGGCGGCCCACCCGACCCGUCUUGAAACACGGACCAAGGAGUCUAACAUGUGCGCGAGUCAUUGGGUCCUACUAAACCCAAGGGCGUAUUGAACGAAAAGGCCGUCCUUGCGGCGGCCGAGGGAGGAUGGGGCGUCGCUCGCGGCGCCCCCGCAUUCCCGGGGCGUCUCGUCCUACCGGUGCUUGUCGCCGGAAGGUGAGGCGCACCAAGAGCGCACACGUUGGGACCCGAAAGAUGGUGAACUAUGCCUGGCCAGGACGAAGUCAGGGGAAACCCUGAUGGAGGUCCGUAGCGAUUCUGACGUGC